Small nucleolar RNA from Polyodon spathula (Mississippi paddlefish), 104 nucleotides. RefSeq annotates it as small nucleolar RNA U13. NCBI's taxonomy places the organism in Eukaryota, Metazoa, Chordata, Actinopteri, Acipenseriformes, Polyodontidae. The record is from RefSeq and is a predicted model, not a curated record. The transcript has a single exon.
AUCCUUCUGGUUCAGACAGGUGAUGAAUGGAUUGGUCAUGUGAUUAUUGCAUGAAAUGUGCCUCCUUUCAAUCUUGUUACAACUGGCACACAACCCUUCUGAUU